UACGUAGGGACCAAGCGUUGUCCGGAAUCAUUGGGCGUAAAGAGCGUGUAGGCGGCCAGGUAGGUCCGUUGUGAAAACUGGAGGCUUAACCUCCAGCUGUCGAUGGAAACCAUCUGGCUAGAGUCCGGAAGAGGAGAGUGGAAUUCCUGGUGUAGCGGUGAAAUGCGCAGAUAUCAGGAAGAACACCCGUGGCGAAGGCGGCUCUCUGGGACGGUACUGACGCUGAGACGCGAAAGCGUGGGGAGCGAACAGG
RNAcentral lists this ribosomal RNA (253 nucleotides) under uncultured bacterium. RNAcentral's name for it is "partial 16S ribosomal RNA". It matches the Rfam family "Bacterial small subunit ribosomal RNA", at positions 524 to 776 of the family's 1533-position model. The record is from RNAcentral.